UACAGACCUGUUUGUGCUGGAAAAUGAUCC
Molecule: non-coding RNA, 30 nt
Filed under: Rattus norvegicus (Norway rat)
Lineage: Eukaryota; Metazoa; Chordata; Mammalia; Rodentia; Muridae
Source: RNAcentral